GACGAACCGUGCGAACGUUGUUCGGAAUCACUGGGCUUAAAGGGAGCGUAGGCGGGCUAUCAAGUCUGGGGUGAAAUCCCGCGGCUCAACCGUGGAACUGCCUCAGAUACUGACGGCCUCGAGGGAGAUAGGGGCAUGCGGAACUGUAGGUGGAGCGGUGAAAUGCGUUGAUAUCUACAGGAACUCCGGUGGCGAAAGCGGCGCACUGGACCACAACUGACGCUGAGGCGCGAAAGCUAGGGGAGCAAACAGG
Molecule: ribosomal RNA, 253 nt
Filed under: uncultured bacterium
Lineage: Bacteria
Description: partial 16S ribosomal RNA
Rfam family: Bacterial small subunit ribosomal RNA
Source: RNAcentral